Molecule: long non-coding RNA, 3240 nt
Filed under: Papio anubis (olive baboon)
Lineage: Eukaryota; Metazoa; Chordata; Mammalia; Primates; Cercopithecidae
Description: lncRNA (ENSPANG00000045967.1)
Source: RNAcentral
AUGGCGAGCUUGGCCGGAUGUCACUUCGCCUUUGCCUUUUCCUCACCGACCUUCUCAGCAGAGCCGGCCCUGCUCACUACCGCCCCCACCGGUCGUGUCGUGCUUCAUUCCCACAGGACGCAUAAGACUGUGUGCUCCAUAAGGGCAAAGGCCGUUUGUAUCUUGUUCAUUGUCGUAUGGCCAAUGCCAGCUCAGUGGCGAAAGUGGAGACUGCUUAGUAAGUAUAAACCCUCCACAGUGAGGGAACGAAAAAGGGGUUUGGCUGCUAGAAGAUUAUUUACAACAGUUGCAAAAGAGCUUCAGGAAAAUAUGGGGGCUGAAAAUAUAAUUUUGUAAUAAUUAAUGCAUAAAAUAAGCAUGUAGGUAAAGAUGGUGAAUUAAAUAAGGAGAAAAAAUGGUUGGAAGUAGAGGUAGACAUAGGAUGGAGAAAGAAGGAUUUAUUAAGAAAGGUUUACGGGGAUCCCUGGGGAGAACAAGCCAGAAGAGAGGAGAAAAAGGCUUAAUAGGUUGAGUAUGAUCGUGGAGGACUGCGAGAGCACAGGAGGGUGAACAAGGGCAGGGACCCUUGGAGACGAAAGAGGGGAAGAGGAGCGUGGGGCAAAAGCAGGGAGAUCUCUCUGACCUUCUCCCACUGUUCUCCUCCAAAGCAGGUCCUAAAAUAAUUAUUUGACCUUCCUCUAAAAUAGGUCAUUAGACCCUCAUUCCAGCGGUUCCUCCUCCCUAUACCUAGAGAAAAGGAAUGAAGACCCAGAGAUGCCAAGCACAAUCUGAACAAAUUGGCCUUGCCAAGUUCUCCCCAGGUGAUUCUCAUUAGCUCACAUUCCUUUUGUCCAACCAUCCUUCUACAGGACUGUCCACUCUUCAUCAAUCCUAAGCAUAAAAAUACAGUUUUCCCUGUUUCUUUGGGCCUUCGUUUCUGAAGGCUCCUGGGUUAUGUAAAACUUUGAUGAAAUAAAUUUGCAUGAUUUUGUUUUGCUAAUUGGUCUUUUGUUCUGGGGUCUCAGUCAUCCAUGUUGCAGCGGGUUAAGAGAAGAUAUUACUUUUUCUCCCCUACAGAAGCUGAGCAAGAACAGAUAAAUGAGGUCGGGGCGAAGGCCUGUCUAAAGUGAACACCACAAACACGAGGGCUUUAAGGACAACUGUGGGCUCCUGGCCUGCUUCGCGCAGCACAGGCAGUGACUACAGGCUUCAUCUCCACUGUGCAGGUCUGAGAAGACUGGGGGGUCUGUUAGGGCAACAGGGGCUGGGGGCAGUAGGAAAAAAGUGGUUCAAAUAUGGGGUAGGCAAGACAGUGUAGUCAGACAAAAACUAAAAUGUUAGGAACAGUGGAGUAGAUUAAAGUUUUUAGAGAAGUAGAAGAGAGAAUUAAUGGCAUGAGAAAGCUGUGAGAAAAAAGAGUAUUGCAAUUUUAGAUUUCACUAGGGGGCCAGGCAUGGUGGUUCAUACCUGUAAUCCCAGCACUUUGGGAGACUGAGGUGGGAGGAUCACCUGAUCCCAGGAGUUUGAAACCAGCCUGGGCAACAUGGCAAGACUUUGUCUCUACAAAAAAAAAAAAAAAAGAGUAGGAAAAUUGUUACUGAAACACCAGGGGGUUGCUCUCAGUCCUGCUGCUUAUGGCACAGAAAGCCAAUCAGUGAGAUGAUGAGUAUUGCCAAGGAAGAAGGCUUUAAUAGGGUGCUGCAGCUGAGGACAUGCCAGCUGAGUCUCAAAUUCAUCUCCUUGACUGAUCAAAACCAGGAGUUUAUAUAGCAGGCAAGAAAUGUAACAAUGUAUAAGAAAACAGGGCUAGGCUCGGUGAUUCAGGGUAGUUGCAGUGGCUCACACCUGUAAUCUCAGCAUUUUGGGAGGCAGAGGUGGGCAGAUUACAAGGUCAGGAGUUUGAGACCAGUCUGGCUAAGAUGGUGAAACCCUGUCUCUACUAAAAAUACAAAAAUUAGCUGGGCGUAGUGGCGUGCACCUGCAGUCCCAGCUACUUGGGAGGCUGAGGCAGAAGAAUAGCUUGAACCUGGGAGGCGCAGGUUGCAGUGAGCUGAGAUUGCACCACUGCACUCCAGCCUGGCAACAGAGCGAGACCCCAUCAAAAUAAAAAAAAAAAGAAAAGAAAAGAAAAGAAAAAGAAAACAGCAGGAACUUGGGAGGGGCAAGGAAUCGACCAUGGUGAAUGAGGGGUUGGGCAUCUGGUUGGGCAUCUGGUGUGGUGAUCUGGUUUCAGUUCUUUAAUACUUUUCGUGAGAGGCUUGAAGGUCAUUUCCUGAGGAAUUACAGGCUCUCUAAGUGAUCUUGGUGCCUGCCAACAGUAUGGGAAGCACUGACUUAGCAGAAGCACACGCAGUGCCUUGAUCCCAACAUAUCUGCAGACUGGACCUCGGGCACCUGUGCGGCCUUAGGGCCCUGGGCCUAUGCAGGAAGACUCUGGCCUACGUAGGGAUGCCUGGUCAUUCCAGAAAAUAGACCCAUGUGCCGAAGCUACUGGUGACUUGUGGACCAUGGCCACCCAUAAGCAGGUUACCAUCUUUAGGCAGAUAGUGCUGGGUUCCUGCUGCCUUUGCCAUGGACCAGCUGCGUGCUGUGUUUGGUAAAUCAUUGACUUCCCCAGUCGGGGGCGGGGAGAGGGACUUGCAUGAAGAGGAUAGGCACAGGUUUCACAAGGUUUUCAGGAGGGUAUCCAGAUCAUCCUUUUCAUUGCAAUAAGCAAAGCUAUAGUCGAACAUUUCCCUUCAUCAACUACACUAUUUGUGUAGUUAUAUUUCAUUGGCGAUAAUCUUAAUCAAAGAUUACAUGAUUAAUUUAUUAACUUAAUUGAAUGUAUUUAUUCUGAACACAGCAUGCUAACAGCUUCUUCCUCUAAAAACAGAUGAAGCUCUAAAUUCUUUGUGGAUAAUUUCUAUAUUUUCUUUUGCAGAUAGAAGGGAAUAUUUACCUAGUUAUAAAUUUUGUUAAAUACAUUUGAAAUAUAUACAUUUUUAAUCUGCAUAUAUUUCGAGGCAACUUCUCCACCCCUGCUCCCAACAAAAAUAGCACCCUAUAUAUUCUGAGACUGUGACUCCUUUACUGAAUGCACCCAAAGGCGAAUGCACCAGGUUCAGGGGAUGCGUUUGGACCUCGAGGCCACAUUGGAUAAGACAGGAUUUUCUUUGGAUUUGUCUUGUCAAUUUUGAUUUUAGGAAAAUUUUAAACAUUUCCCUUCCUCGAGGAUUAAGAUCUGAAAGCAGAUCUUUUAUCAGCUGGCUUUGCUUGUAU